This 605-nucleotide long non-coding RNA is filed under the name Nicotiana benthamiana. Its description in RNAcentral is "long non-coding RNA (NBEN_LNC009684)". The record is from RNAcentral. Lineage: Eukaryota; Viridiplantae; Streptophyta; Magnoliopsida; Solanales; Solanaceae.
GGAUUGCCUCAGGGAAGAGGCCAGUUCCUGAAAAAGCCAUCUCGAUUGGUAUCAUUCAAAUGCGAAUAUAGGCCUGAUUGAAGCAUAAAAGUGAAAUAAUAAUAAUGAGAGGCUUUUGUCCGUUGACGGUCAUCUUACCUGUCUCCUACGCUACGCUCUCAACUGGAUCAAUCGCUUUGUCCUGAUUUAUUGAACAGGUGCCCUGUGGAACAUGUUUUAUGGAUGACGACAUAGGACACAGAAAGUUCCUUCUCUCUCUUUUGAAUCUCCGGGAUUGCCUCAGGGAAGAGGCCAGUUCCUGAAAAAGCCAUCUCGAUUGGUAUCAUUCAAAUGCGAAUAUAGGCCUGAUUGAAGCAUAAAAGUGAAAUAAUAAUAAUGAGAGGCUUUUGUCUGUUGACGGUCAUCUUACCUGUCUCCUACACUACGCUCUCAACUGGAUCAAUCGCUUUAUUGAAUAGGUGCCCUGUGGAACAUGUUUUAUGGAAUUUAACUCUUUAUGUAAUAUUUCUUUUCAUACUGAUUGAAUUCAGGCUGAGAGAGGAAUAUUUGAUCAAAACCCUUAGUCCGCUAGGGGGAUAGUAUACAUUCAAUCCGGAUAAGACACU